Molecule: transfer RNA, 72 nt
Filed under: Spirochaetaceae bacterium
Lineage: Bacteria; Pseudomonadati; Spirochaetota; Spirochaetia; Spirochaetales; Spirochaetaceae
Description: tRNA-His
Rfam family: tRNA
About the family: Transfer RNA (tRNA) molecules are approximately 80 nucleotides in length. Their secondary structure includes four short double-helical elements and three loops (D, anti-codon, and T loops).
Source: RNAcentral
GUGGAUGUAGCUCAGUGGUAGAGUUCGAGAUUGUGGAUCUCGCCGUCGCGGGUUCAACCCCCGUCAUCCACC